Pezoporus occidentalis (night parrot) is the source of this 762-nucleotide long non-coding RNA. RefSeq lists it as uncharacterized. The transcript has 3 exons. NCBI's taxonomy places the organism in Eukaryota, Metazoa, Chordata, Aves, Psittaciformes, Psittacidae. The record is from RefSeq and is a predicted model, not a curated record.
UAAGAGAGAUACAAGGAGAAUUGUGUCUAUUUUGCCAGGAAAUUUUACUCAGACUCCAUAAGGAAUUCAUGUGGGGUAUUUGUUGCUGCUAUUCUGACCGUCAGUUCAAAUGGAGAAAAAAAGAAUUUCAAUCAUAAAAUAUUGUCUGAUAUAUGGAAAAUAUGGAGGAACCAAAUGGUGGAAAACAGUGGACUGUAGACGGUAAGGGUUAUUAUCCUGGAAUAAUGGAACAGCCUCUUGCCUUAAACCCUGGAAAGUCCUACAUGACAAAAGUUUUACAUUUCAAUUACGAGCUUCACUUACCGUAGGAAGUAAACAUUUGAAUAUCAAAUUUCUGUGGUGUGUUUCCAAGUGUUGUUGAAACUUCUUGAAAAUCACUAUGUUAGAAAUAUUUACUGUCUAAAAUAAGAAUAUCAAGACUAAAUGACAAUUCUUUUUCUUCUUUUCUUUUUUAGAUUUUGAGGGAAACCACACGAUGCCUAUAUGACUUUGUGGCAUGCUUCAGGGAAGUUCAAUUAUCAGAUGUUUUCGCUGCUUGAUUAUCUGCCUAUCAGUGCAAUAUGUUGUUACGGUACCUUGCUGCAUAUCAUGGUAGUUUGCUGUCAGACUGGCCUAAAGAAUGCCAAAGCAUUUUCUUUCAUGGUACAUUACAAUAAUUUUGCUCUUUAAAUGAUCAGACCAUUUAGAAUCUUCAUAAUACCUUUUUUACUUAAAAGUAAGGAAAUAGACUAUGUAAAUAAAGCAUCAGCAUUUCCAAUGAAA